This 156-nucleotide ribosomal RNA is filed under the name Millerozyma farinosa. RNAcentral's name for it is "5.8S ribosomal RNA". It matches the Rfam family "5.8S ribosomal RNA". Rfam says of the family: 5.8S ribosomal RNA (5.8S rRNA) is a component of the large subunit of the eukaryotic ribosome. It is transcribed by RNA polymerase I as part of the 45S precursor that also contains 18S and 28S rRNA. Functionally, it is thought that 5.8S rRNA may be involved in ribosome translocation. The record is from RNAcentral. RNAcentral also lists the same sequence under 6 other names. Lineage: Eukaryota; Fungi; Ascomycota; Pichiomycetes; Serinales; Debaryomycetaceae.
AACUUUCAACAACGGAUCUCUUGGUUCUCGCAUCGAUGAAGAACGCAGCGAAAUGCGAUAAGUAAUAUGAAUUGCAGAUUUUCGUGAAUCAUCGAAUCUUUGAACGCACAUUGCGCCCUUUGGUAUUCCAAAGGGCAUGCCUGUUUGAGCGUCAUU